RNAcentral lists this long non-coding RNA (660 nucleotides) under Olea europaea subsp. europaea. The record is from RNAcentral. Lineage: Eukaryota; Viridiplantae; Streptophyta; Magnoliopsida; Lamiales; Oleaceae.
UGCCGGAGCCGAAGCCUCUACACAAAGCGGCGCCCACGACGACGGCGCUUUGAAACAAUGAGCGACUUGAUGUGGAUUCAAAGAAACGAUGAUCUCGUCAAUCGUCACUUCACUGCAGCACGUGCAGCGGCAUCGCAGUUUCAGAGCGACAGCACUCGCCGCCGCUCAUAGAUUGGCAGAUUCAACGGCAAUGGCAGUGGCAUCGGAGCUUCAGAGGUUUGCAUUGCAAUUAUCAGAAGAUGGUAAAGUGAUGGUCUGUGUGGUUUUUGGUUGAUGUGCGACUAGGUGUUGGAGUGCGGCUGCACGGCGAGGUGCUCUAUCUAAUUUAUUUUUUUGUGGUGAUUGUUGAUAGUACCAGUUGCAGAUUUGGGAUUUUUUUUGGUGGGGAUUGUAAUUGUGGUGUGGUAGAGAUGAGAGGCUGUUGGUGGUGCAGUGGUGGAUUUGGCUGUGGCGGGGGCUAAAACGAAACGUUGAGAUGGUCACAAAUUAUUUGGUGUUGGUGUGGUGGCAUGAUGAUGGCGAUGGCAGAGGCAGUGGCAAUCGAUGGUGACAGUGGUGAUGGAGUGGGAUGAAUAGUGGUGAGGUAUUGGUAGUUACGUAUAAUGAUUGUUAUCGAUAAAUAACGUGGCCAAUGAAAUAUAUAAUUUGUGACUAAUAAAU